UACUAUAGUCGUAUGGGCCGACGUCGCAGCUCCGUGCCGCAUGGCCGCGGGAUUUAACAGGUCUGUGAUGCCCUUAGAAGUGCUGGGCCGCACGCGCGCUACACUGACACGUUCAACAAGUUCUACCCUGUCCCGGAAGGGCACGGGUAAUCUUUUUAGUAUGUGUCGUGCUGGGGAUCGAUCUUUGUAAUUAUAGAUCUUGAACGAGGAAUUCCUAGUAAGCAUAAGUCAUCAGCUUGUGCUGAUUACGUCCCUGCCCUUUGUACACACCGCCCGUCGCUCCUACCGAUUUUGAGUGAUCCGGUGAACCUUCUGGACUGCGCAUGUCUUUAAGGCUUGCGUGGAAAGUUAAGUAAACCUUAUCACUUAGAGGAAGGAGAAGUCGUAACAAGGUUUCCGUAGGUGAACCUGCAGAAGGAUCA
This 422-nucleotide ribosomal RNA is filed under the name uncultured marine eukaryote. Its description in RNAcentral is "SSU rRNA". It matches the Rfam family "Eukaryotic small subunit ribosomal RNA", at positions 1398 to 1828 of the family's 1831-position model. The record is from RNAcentral.